UAGUGCUGCAAUGUAAACAUUGCAGUUUCUUUGCAACUGCAAUAUUUUACAUUGCAUUACUA
RNAcentral lists this microRNA precursor (62 nucleotides) under Pelobates cultripes (western spadefoot toad). The record is from RNAcentral. Lineage: Eukaryota; Metazoa; Chordata; Amphibia; Anura; Pelobatidae.